CCUACGGGUGGCAGCAGUGAGGAAUAUUGGUCAAUGGGCGCGAGCCUGAACCAGCCACGUAGCGCGAAGGAUGACUGCCCUACGGGUUGUAAACUUCUUUUAUAAAGGAAUAAAGUGAGGCACGUGUGCCUUUUUGUAUGUACUUUAUGAAUAAGGAUCGGCUAACUCCGUGCCAGCAGCCGCGGUAAUACGGAGGAUCCGAGCGUUGUCCGGAUUUAUUGGGUGUAAGGGGAGUGUAGAUGGCGUGUUAAGUCAGUUGUGAAAGUUUGCGGCUCAACCGUAAAAUUGCAAUUGAUACUGGUAGCCUUGAGUACAGGUGAGGUAGGCGGAAUUCGUGGUGUAGCGGUGAAAUGCGUAGAUAUAACGAAGAACUCCGAUGGCGAAGGCAGACUACUAAACGGUCACUGACAGUGAGGCGCGAAAGUGUGGGGAGCAAACAGGAUUAGAUACCCGGGUAGUC
This 460-nucleotide ribosomal RNA is filed under the name uncultured bacterium. RNAcentral describes it as "partial 16S ribosomal RNA". It matches the Rfam family "Bacterial small subunit ribosomal RNA", at positions 338 to 795 of the family's 1533-position model. The record is from RNAcentral.